Molecule: ribosomal RNA, 788 nt
Filed under: Cosmospora coccinea
Lineage: Eukaryota; Fungi; Ascomycota; Sordariomycetes; Hypocreales; Nectriaceae
Description: eukaryotic LSU rRNA
Rfam family: Eukaryotic large subunit ribosomal RNA
Source: RNAcentral
GCGGCAACAGCUCAAAUUUGAAAUCUGGCCCUCGGGUCCGAGUUGUAAUUUGUAGAGGAUGCUUUUGGUGCGGUGCCUUCCGAGUUCCCUGGAACGGGACGCCAUAGAGGGUGAGAGCCCCGUCUGGUUGGACACCAAGCCUCUGUAAAGCUCCUUCGACGAGUCGAGUAGUUUGGGAAUGCUGCUCUAAAUGGGAGGUAUAUGUCUUCUAAAGCUAAAUACCGGCCAGAGACCGAUAGCGCACAAGUAGAGUGAUCGAAAGAUGAAAAGCACUUUGAAAAGAGGGUUAAAUAGUACGUGAAAUUGUUGAAAGGGAAGCGCUUGUGACCAGACUUGAGCCCGGUUAAUCAUCCAGCCUUCUGGCUGGUGCACUUGGCCGGCUCAGGCCAGCAUCAGUUCGGCGUGGGGGAUAAAGACUUCGGGAAUGUGGCUCCUUCGGGAGUGUUAUAGCCCGUUGUGUAAUACCCUGUACUGGACUGAGGUUCGCGCAUCUGCAAGGAUGCUGGCGUAAUGGUCAUCAGCGACCCGUCUUGAAACACGGACCAAGGAGUCGUCCUCGUAUGCGAGUGUUCGGGUGUCAAACCCCUACGCGUAAUGAAAGUGAACGCAGGUGAGAGCUUCGGCGCAUCAUCGACCGAUCCUGAUGUUCUCGGACGGAUUUGAGUAAGAGCAUACGGGGCCGGACCCGAAAGAAGGUGAACUAUGCCUGUAUAGGGUGAAGCCAGAGGAAACUCUGGUGGAGGCUCGCAGCGGUUCUGACGUGCAAAUCGAUCGUCAAAUAUGGGCAU